GCCGGUGUGUUGGAAUUGGUAGACGAGGCGGACUCAAAAUCCGUUGGUAGCGAUACCGUGUGGGUUCGAGUCCCACCACCGGCACCA
Molecule: transfer RNA, 87 nt
Filed under: Oscillospiraceae bacterium
Lineage: Bacteria; Bacillati; Bacillota; Clostridia; Eubacteriales; Oscillospiraceae
Description: tRNA-Leu
Rfam family: tRNA
About the family: Transfer RNA (tRNA) molecules are approximately 80 nucleotides in length. Their secondary structure includes four short double-helical elements and three loops (D, anti-codon, and T loops). Further hydrogen bonds mediate the characteristic L-shaped molecular structure. tRNAs have two regions of fundamental functional importance: the anti-codon, which is responsible for specific mRNA codon recognition, and the 3' end, to which the tRNAs corresponding amino acid is attached (by aminoacyl-tRNA synthetases). tRNAs cope with the degeneracy of the genetic code in two manners: having more than one tRNA (with a specific anti-codon) for a particular amino acid; and 'wobble' base-pairing, i.e. permitting non-standard base-pairing at the 3rd anti-codon position.
Source: RNAcentral